Long non-coding RNA from Salvia miltiorrhiza (redroot sage), 737 nucleotides. RefSeq lists it as uncharacterized. The record is from RefSeq and is a predicted model, not a curated record. The transcript is spliced from 4 exons. Lineage: Eukaryota; Viridiplantae; Streptophyta; Magnoliopsida; Lamiales; Lamiaceae.
UUCAUUUUAUAACUUAUCGAUUUUAGCGAGAUAUCACAUGUCGAAAUCGAGAUUUAUUUAAAUAAACAGUACAAGCAAAUAUGAGCACGUGAUUCACUUUACAGUUACAGAAUCACCGAGUCAGAGAAAAUACAUCAAUAAUUCUCCUCUACAAUUUUUUUUCCUUUCUUUUUCUUCUCUUUUUCUUUCCAUUAAACUUUGUUCCCACACCACUAUCAUUAUGUUUUUCUUUCUUUUUCCCCCACCACUACACUCAAUUCUUCACCAAUGAAUUAUUAGUAUCAACCCCAGCCAACAAACAGCUCUCAAUCUCACUUCAUUUCACCGAAAAAAAAUAUUGAAGAGCAGCCCCAAUUCAUUCUGCUAAGAUCUCAAGGAACCUUAAGUUCAGUUACUCCAGUUCAACAAACAACAAUAUUUAACCAACAACACAUUUCAAGGUCAAGCACGAGAUUAAUAAUCAGUCAAGGAACUACUGUACCACAGAAAGUUUAUAUCAGGUUGAGCAGCUGCCGAUGGUGAUGAAGUGACGAGCGGGAUUCUUUUGUCUUAUUAUGUAUUAAUGAACUCUAGGGUUACAUGUCUUCAUACAUGUAAUCAGAAUCAUAUUCCGCUGCGCACUCAGAAGUUUUAUGUUUAUUUGGCUAAGUCAGAGAUAUCUGAACUUACUAGUUAUUUGAGUCUAUACGACUAAACUUCUGUUAUAUUAUAAAUAUUCCUUUUGUUAAAUUAUGAAA